This 366-nucleotide ribosomal RNA is filed under the name uncultured organism. RNAcentral's name for it is "bacterial SSU rRNA". It matches the Rfam family "Bacterial small subunit ribosomal RNA", at positions 527 to 896 of the family's 1533-position model. The record is from RNAcentral.
CGUAGUGGCAAGCGUUGUCCGGAUUUAUGGGUUUAAAGGGUGCGUAGGCGGUUCCAUAAGUCAGUGGUGAAAUACGGCAGCUCAACUGUCGAGGUGCCAUUGAUACUGCGGAACUUGAGUACUGAUGAGGUAGGCGGAAUUGACGGUGUAGCGGUGAAAUGCUUAGAUAUCGUCAAGAACACCGAUAGCGAAGGCAGCUUACCAAGCAGUAACUGACGCUGAGGCACGAAAGUGCGGGGAUCAAACAGGAUUAGAUACCCUGGUAGUCCGCACAGUAAACGAUGAUUACUCGAUGUUGGCGAUACACAGCCAGCGUCUUAGCGAAAGCGAUAAGUAAUCCACCUGGGGAGUACGCCCGCAAGGGUG